UGCCAGCAGCCGCGGUAAUACGGAGGGUGCAAGCGUUGUUCGGAAUUAUUGGGCGUAAAGCGCGUGUAGGCGGUUCGUUAAGUCUGGCGUGAAAGCCCGGGGCUCAACCCCGGAAGUGCGUUGGAUACUGGCAGUCUUGAGUAUGGGAGAGGAAAGUGGAAUUCCGAGUGUAGGAGUGAAAUCCGUAGAUAUUCGGAGGAACACCAGUGGCGAAGGCGGCUUUCUGGACAGAUACUGACGCUGGGGCGCGAAGGCGUGGGUAGCGAACGGGAUUAGAUA
This 279-nucleotide ribosomal RNA is filed under the name uncultured bacterium. RNAcentral's name for it is "partial 16S ribosomal RNA". It matches the Rfam family "Bacterial small subunit ribosomal RNA", at positions 506 to 784 of the family's 1533-position model. The record is from RNAcentral.